This 250-nucleotide ribosomal RNA is filed under the name Clostridioides difficile. RNAcentral describes it as "partial 23S ribosomal RNA". It matches the Rfam family "Bacterial large subunit ribosomal RNA", at positions 1339 to 1584 of the family's 2925-position model. The record is from RNAcentral. Lineage: Bacteria; Bacillati; Bacillota; Clostridia; Peptostreptococcales; Peptostreptococcaceae.
GUAAACCCAAGGUUUCCAGGGGAAGGUUCGUCCGCCCUGGGUUAGUCGGGACCUAAGCUGAGGCCGAAAGGCGUAGGUGAUGGACAACAGGUUGAUAUUCCUGUACUACCGAUAACCGUUUGGGAGAGGGGAUGACACAGUAGGAUAAGCUAAGCACACUGUUGGUUAUGUGUGCCCAAGCAUUGAGGCAGUCAAAGUAGGCAAAUCCGCUUUGAUAAUGCUGGGAUGUGAUGGGGAGCGAAAUUUAGUA